Osmerus eperlanus (European smelt) is the source of this 74-nucleotide small nucleolar RNA. RefSeq annotates it as small nucleolar RNA SNORD61. The transcript has a single exon. The record is from RefSeq and is a predicted model, not a curated record. NCBI's taxonomy places the organism in Eukaryota, Metazoa, Chordata, Actinopteri, Osmeriformes, Osmeridae.
GCGGUGAUGAAUCUUCUGGUUUUGAUGAGCAGAGCUGAGAACACCCACCAUAUCCUCUAAGAAGUUCUGAGCUC